RNAcentral lists this long non-coding RNA (312 nucleotides) under Elaeis guineensis (African oil palm). RNAcentral's name for it is "long non-coding RNA (EGUI_LNC049533)". The record is from RNAcentral. Lineage: Eukaryota; Viridiplantae; Streptophyta; Magnoliopsida; Arecales; Arecaceae.
GGCAGUAAAGUAUCCAGUAGUUGGUCACAUUCAAUGAAAUAUACUCCUAUAUCUCACUUGUAUAUCAUACCAGUCUUUUCACACCACUUGAUUAUGAGGACAACUAACAGAUAUGACAUAUAACGACCUAUACUCGAUAAAUGCUAUCAUCCUAGUAAUAGCAUACCAUUUGAUCGUGAACUAAAUUUAAAGACUAAAUGAUAUAUCCUUCUAUAUCGAUUAGGAUAGUCCUAAGGAUUUCGUCACAAUAAUUAGAGUUUAUUAAGAAAAUGUACACUACUUUGUGAUAAAAAAGUUAAAUAAUAAUUUUAU